This 351-nucleotide ribosomal RNA is filed under the name uncultured bacterium. RNAcentral's name for it is "bacterial SSU rRNA". It matches the Rfam family "Bacterial small subunit ribosomal RNA", at positions 32 to 359 of the family's 1533-position model. The record is from RNAcentral.
AAUCAACGCUGGCGGCGUGCCUCAGACAUGCAAGUCGAACGCGAAAGGUUCCUUCGGGGACCGAGUAGAGUGGCGCACGGGUGAGUAACACGUAGGUAAUUUGCCUUUGGGUGGGGAAUAACUCAGGGAAACUUGAGCUAAUACCGCAUAAUGCAGCGGCUCGACAUCGAGACAGUUGUUAAAGCGGGGGAGUUCGCAAGAACCUCGCGCCUAAAGAGAAGCCUGCGGCAGAUUAGCUAGUUGGUAAGGUAAUGGCUUACCAAGGCGACGAUCUGUAACCGGCCUGAGAGGGCGGUCGGUCACACUGACACUGACAUACGGGUCAGACUCCUACGGGAGGCAGCAGUCGGG